Molecule: ribosomal RNA, 811 nt
Filed under: uncultured bacterium
Lineage: Bacteria
Description: bacterial SSU rRNA
Rfam family: Bacterial small subunit ribosomal RNA
Source: RNAcentral
AGAGUUUGAUCCUGGCUCAGAACGAACGCUGGCGGCGUGGAUAAGACAUGCAAGUCGAACGAGAUUUUUUCCUGUAGCAAUACAGGGAAAAGUCUAGUGGCGAACGGGUGCGUAACACGUGGGCAAUCUGCCUUAAAGUGGGGGAUAGCUCGGCGAAAGCCGAAUUAAUACCGCAUGUGAUCAGGGGAGACAUCUUCCCGAAAUCAAAAGUGGCGCAAGCUACUGCUUUUUGAGGAGCCCGCGGCCUAUCAGCUAGUUGGCGAGGUAACGGCUCACCAAGGCUUUGACGGGUAGCUGGUCUGAGAGGACGACCAGUCACACUGGAACUGAGACACGGUCCAGACACCUACGGGUGGCAGCAGUCGAGAAUUUUUCUCAAUGGGGGAAACCCUGAAGGAGCGACGCCGCGUGGAGGAUGAAGGUCUUCGGGUUGUAAACUCCUGUCAUUUGGGAACAAGUGUCGGUACCUAACUGCUACCGGCUUGAUAGUACCAGAAGAGGAAGGGACGGCUAACUCUGUGCCAGCAGCCGCGGUAAUACAGAGGUCUCAAGCGUUGUUCGGAUUCAUUGGGCGUAAAGGGUGUGUAGGUGGCGCCGUAAGUCGGGUGUGAAAUUUCGGAGCUUAACUCCGAAACUGCAUUCGAUACUGCGGUGCUUGAGGACUGGAGAGGAGACUGGAAUUCAUGGUGUAGCAGUGAAAUGCGUAGAGAUCAUGAGGAAGACCAGUGCGCGAAGGCGGGUCUCUGGACAGUUCCUGACACUGAGACACGAAGGCCAGGGGGAGCAACGGGAUUAGAUACCCCCGUAGUCC